AGAUUGAACGCUGGCGGCAUGCCUAACACAUGCAAGUCGAACGGGAGUAGCAAUACUCUAGUGGCGGACGGGUGAGGAAUACGUAGGAAUUUGCCCUUAAGUGGGGGAUAACCCGGGGAAACCCGGAUUAAUACCGCAUGACCUCGAAAGAGCAAAGUGGGGGAUCGCAAGACCUCACGCUUUUGGAGAAGCCUACGUCGGAUUAGCUAGUUGGUGAGGUAAUGGCUCACCAAGGCGACGAUCCGUAACUGGUCUGAGAGGAUGAUCAGUCACACCGGAACUGAGACACGGUCCGACUCCUACGGGAGGCAGCAGGUGGGAAUNUUGGACAAUGGGGCGCAAGCCUGAUCCAGCAAUGCCG
Molecule: ribosomal RNA, 361 nt
Filed under: uncultured soil bacterium
Lineage: Bacteria
Description: bacterial SSU rRNA
Rfam family: Bacterial small subunit ribosomal RNA
Source: RNAcentral